This 194-nucleotide ribosomal RNA is filed under the name uncultured bacterium. RNAcentral's name for it is "partial 16S ribosomal RNA". It matches the Rfam family "Bacterial small subunit ribosomal RNA", at positions 338 to 524 of the family's 1533-position model. The record is from RNAcentral.
CCUACGGGAGGCAGCAGUGGGGAAUAUUGCACAAUGGGGGAAACCCUGAUGCAGCCAUGCCGCGUGUGUGAAGAAGGCCUUCGGGUUGUAAAGCACUUUCAGCGAGGAGGAAAGGUUGUUGGCUAGUACCCAACAGCUGUGACGUUACUCGCAGAAGAAGCACCGGCUAACUCCGUGCCAGCAGCCGCGGUAAU